UGAGUAACACGUGUCCAACCUGCCGUCUACUCUUGGACAGCCUUCUGAAAGGAAGAUUAAUACAAGAUGGCAUCAUGAGUCCACAUGUUCACAUGAUUAAAGGUAUUCCGGUAGACGAUGGGGAUGCGUUCCAUUAGAUAGUAGGCGGGGUAACGGCCCACCUAGCCUUCGAUGGAUAGGGGUUCUGAGAGGAAGGUCCCCCACAUUGGAACUGAGACACGGUCCAA
Molecule: ribosomal RNA, 227 nt
Filed under: uncultured bacterium
Lineage: Bacteria
Description: partial 16S ribosomal RNA
Rfam family: Bacterial small subunit ribosomal RNA
Source: RNAcentral